GCAACUCAGUGAGACCCUGUCUCUAAAUAAAAAAUAAAAAUAGGGCUGGGGAUGUGGCUCAGUGGUUGAGUGCCCCUGAGUUCAUUCCUGGUAUCCCCCUCCCACCCAAAAUAAAAUUGGGCCCAACCCCAGAUUAUGUUGGUGGGGUGGGACCUGGGCAUUUGUGGAUUUUUUUUUUUUUUUUUUAGCUCCUCUGAUGAAUCUAAUAUGCAGUAAGAAACUAGUUAUCACUGCUCUUUAUACCAGAGGUCCACAAACUAAUAGCUCCAGCUAUCCAUAUUGCUGUGAUCAUUCCUUUUUGAAUUGUUUAUGGCUACUUUUGUGCAAAACUGGCAGAAUAAUGACAGAAACUGUAUAUCCUUCAAAGCCUAAAAUUUUUACUCUUAAGCCCUUUAUAGGAAGAGUUUGCCUACUAUUGCUCGUGAGCCCCAAUAUCACUUUCUUCAGACUUUGUUUUAGAGUUCAGGAAAUGAAAAGCAAUUCCAGGCCUUUGGGUAAAAGAGAAUUGAUGAUACCCUUUAUCCCUAUAUUUAUGUGUCAUAUACGUGUUACAGGUAUGAGGAGCCCUUCCUUUGCCACCCCAAACAAUUCCCUGAUUUUUGUCAACACUGUUCUGAUUCCAACUAAAUUUUGCUAAAUUUAGUUGAUUAAAAAACAAACAAACAAAAAACCUGAAAUGGCAAAUACUUACUGAAACUAAAUUCAACACAAUGCAGCAAGCAUCUAACUUCCCUUUAAUAUGGUGCAUAUACUUUGAUGCAUAUCUUUUGAGGCUUUUUUGGUUUUGUUUUGGUACUGGAGAUUGAACCUAAGGGUACUUUACCACUGCAUUCCAUCUGCAGUCCUUUUAUUUAUUUUUAAUUUUGAGACAGAAUUUUGCUAAGUUGCUAAGUGGCUUUGAACUUGCAACCCUCCUGCCUCAGCUUCCUGAGUAGCUGGGAUUACAGGCAUGUGCCUCUGUGCCUGGCUCCUUGAGACCUUUCAAUGGCAGAGUUUUUUUCCCCCUAAGUUUGAUUUUUUAAAAUUUUAUUCUUUUAUCUGUGGAAGAGAAGGUUGGGCCAG
Molecule: long non-coding RNA, 1062 nt
Filed under: Marmota monax (woodchuck)
Lineage: Eukaryota; Metazoa; Chordata; Mammalia; Rodentia; Sciuridae
Source: RNAcentral